Molecule: ribosomal RNA, 749 nt
Filed under: uncultured Methanocalculus sp.
Lineage: Archaea; Methanobacteriati; Methanobacteriota; Methanomicrobia; Methanomicrobiales; Methanocalculaceae
Description: bacterial SSU rRNA
Rfam family: Archaeal small subunit ribosomal RNA
Source: RNAcentral
GGAUAAUCUGCCCUCAGGUGAGGAAUAAUCCCGGGAAACUGGGGCUAAUGCCUCAUAGGAGACGGGUGCUGGAAUGCUCUGUCUCCGAAAGGUCCGCCGCCUGAGGAUGAGUCUGCGUCCGAUUAGGUUGUUGUUGGGGUAACGGCCCAACAAGCCUUUGAUCGGUACGGGUUGUGGGAGCAAGAGCCCGGAGAUGGAUUCUGAGACAUGAAUCCAGGCCCUACGGGGCGCAGCAGGCGCGAAAACUUUACAAUGCGAGCAAUCGUGAUAAGGAAACCCUGAGUGCCUGUCAAUGCAGGCUGUCCUGGUGUCUAACACACACCAGGAGAAAGGGCGGGGCAAGACCGGUGCCAGCCGCCGCGGUAAUACCGGCUGCUCGAGUGAUAGCCACUUUUACUGGGCUUAAAGCGUUCGUAGCUUGGUCGUUAAGUCUCUGGGGAAAUCUUUUGGCUCAACCAAAAGGCGUCUCAGGGAAACUGACGAUCUUGGAACCGGGAGAGGUAAGACGUACUUCGGGGGUAGGAGUGAAAUCUUGUAAUCCCCGAGGGACGACCGAUGGCGAAGGCAUCUUACCAGAACGGCUUCGACAGUGAGGGACGAAAGCUGGGGGAGCAAACCGGAUUAGAUACCCGGGUAGUCCCAGCCGUAAACGAUGUGCGUUAGGUGUGUCAGUGACCACGAGUCGCUGAGGUGCCGAAGGGAAACCGUGAAACGCACCGCCUGGGAAGUACGGUCGCAAGGCUGAAACU